CCAGACAGCCAGGAUGUUGGCUUAGAAGCAGCCAUCAUUUAAAGAAAGCGUAAUAGCUCACUGGUCGAGUCGGCCUGCGCGGAAGAUGUAACGGGGCUAAACCAUGCACCGAAGCUGCGGCAGCGACGCUGAUGCGUUGUUGGGUAGGGGAGCGUUCUGUAAGCCUGCGAAGGUGGCCUGUGAGGGUUGCUGGAGGUAUCAGAAGUGCGAAUGCUGACAUAAGUAACGAUAAAGCGGGUGAAAAGCCCGCUCGCCGGAAGACCAAGGGUUCCUGUCCAACGUUAAUCGGGGCAGGGUGAGUCGACCCCUAAGGC
Molecule: ribosomal RNA, 314 nt
Filed under: Salmonella enterica subsp. enterica serovar Muenster
Lineage: Bacteria; Pseudomonadati; Pseudomonadota; Gammaproteobacteria; Enterobacterales; Enterobacteriaceae
Also listed under: 2 other names
Description: partial 23S ribosomal RNA
Rfam family: Bacterial large subunit ribosomal RNA
Source: RNAcentral